UACGAAGGGUGCAAGCGUUACUCGGAAUUACUGGGCGUAAAGCGUGCGUAGGCGGUUAGUUAAGUCUGUCGUGAAAGCCCCGGGCUCAACCUGGGAAUGGCGAUGGAUACUGGCUAGCUAGAGUGUGUCAGAGGAUGGUGGAAUUCCCGGUGUAGCGGUGAAAUGCGUAGAGAUCGGGAGGAACACCAGUGGCGAAGGCGGCCAUCUGGGCUGAAACUGACGCUGAGGCGCGAAGGCUAGGGGAGCAAACAGG
Molecule: ribosomal RNA, 253 nt
Filed under: uncultured bacterium
Lineage: Bacteria
Description: partial 16S ribosomal RNA
Rfam family: Bacterial small subunit ribosomal RNA
Source: RNAcentral